UACGUAGGCAGCGAGCGUUGUUCGGAAUUACUGGGCGUAAAGAGUGUGUAGGCGGUGCUCUAAGUUCGGUGUGAAAUCUCCCGGCUUAACUGGGAGGGUGCGGCGAAAACUGGAAUGCUAGAGGAUGGGAGAGGUAAGCGGAAUUCCUGGUGUAGCGGUGAAAUGCGUAGAUAUCAGGAGGAACACCUGUGGUGUAGACAGCUUACUGGACCAUUUCUGACGCUGAGACACGAAAGCGUGGGUAGCGAACAGG
RNAcentral lists this ribosomal RNA (253 nucleotides) under uncultured bacterium. RNAcentral describes it as "partial 16S ribosomal RNA". It matches the Rfam family "Bacterial small subunit ribosomal RNA", at positions 524 to 776 of the family's 1533-position model. The record is from RNAcentral.